This 3100-nucleotide ribosomal RNA is filed under the name Streptococcus pneumoniae. Its description in RNAcentral is "23S ribosomal RNA". The stretch from base 724 to 3100 matches the Rfam family "Bacterial large subunit ribosomal RNA". Lineage: Bacteria; Bacillati; Bacillota; Bacilli; Lactobacillales; Streptococcaceae. The record is from RNAcentral.
UAAGCUCUCUAGCGCCGAUGGUAGUUGGGACCUUGUCCCUGUGAGAGUAGGACGUCGCCAAGCAAAAACCUAAGUCGAUUCGACUUAGGUUUUUUUGUGUUUAUUUUUAUUUGCCAAAUGUCAUAAUCCAUAGAUUUAAUAAUCCUAAAGAAGAAAAAAGAAUGAAAACGAAGCUAUUCAAAGUAAUAGCAACGAUUUUUUGUUUUCCGGAUUUUCCGAGUGCUCCUAAAAUAAUCCCUAUGAUAGGAAAUGUUAUUUCUACUACAAGUAUGUAUUUUAAAUAAUGAGAGUAAAAAAAGUGGGAUGAUAUAAAUAAGUAUUCAAUUAUAACAGCAACGAUUGCGAUGCAAAGAAAUAAAUAUGAAAAGAAUGUAGUUAUUUUUUUCAUUAGUGUUCUCCUUAUAAAUAAAAUGAAUAUAAACGAUAUGCUUUAUAUGAAAACAUGCGGAAUUAGUAUACAAACCGUUAUGUGUACAAUAGAUCUCUAGAAAUAUAUAUUCUAAUUACUUAUCUCUCUUGCAUAUAGUUACAAUUAUUCUUUUGAAUAUAACUAAAACACGAACGUUAUGAGUUGCUAAUAAAAAAACAUUCGAUUAUUUGUUGACAUUGUUUAUGAAAUAUUGUUAAUAUAGCCAUAGAAACAAUAAUAUAUAAGACCUCAUAUAAUCGCGGGGAUAUGGCCUGCAAGUCUCUACCUAACGACCGUUAUUCGUUAGACUAUGAGGGAAAGUCACUCGGUAUUUUUCUAUUCACAAGGGAUACNCCCGUUAACGGGUGAUGGCGUGCCUUUUGUAGAAUGAACCGGCGAGUUACGAUCCCGUGCGAGGUUAAGCUGAAGAGGCGGAGCCGCAGCGAAAGCGAGUCUGAAUAGGGCGUUUAGUACGUGGUCGUAGACCCGAAACCAGGUGAUCUACCCAUGUCCAGGGUGAAGUUCAGGUAACACUGAAUGGAGGCCCGAACCCACGCACGUUGAAAAGUGCGGGGAUGAGGUGUGGGUAGCGGAGAAAUUCCAAUCGAACCUGGAGAUAGCUGGUUCUCCCCGAAAUAGCUUUAGGGCUAGCCUUAAGUGUAAGAGUCUUGGAGGUAGAGCACUGAUUGGACUAGGGGUCCUCAUCGGAUUACCGAAUUCAGUCAAACUCCGAAUGCCAAUGACUUAUCCUUAGGAGUCAGACUGCGAGUGAUAAGAUCCGUAGUCAAAAGGGAAACAGCCCAGACCGCCAGCUAAGGUCCCAAAGUGUGUAUUAAGUGGAAAAGGAUGUGGAGUUGCUUAGACAACUAGGAUGUUGGCUUAGAAGCAGCCACCAUUUAAAGAGUGCGUAAUAGCUCACUAGUCGAGUGACUCUGCGCCGAAAAUGUACCGGGGCUAAAUACACCACCGAAGCUGCGGAUUGAUACCAAUGGUAUCAGUGGUAGGGGAGCGUUCUAAGGACAGUGAAGUCAGACCGGAAGGACUGGUGGAGUGCUUAGAAGUGAGAAUGCCGGUAUGAGUAGCGAAAGACGGGUGAGAAUCCCGUCCACCGAAUGCCUAAGGUUUCCUGAGGAAGGCUCGUCCGCUCAGGGUUAGUCAGGACCUAAGCCGAGGCCGACAGGCGUAGGCGAUGGACAACAGGUUGAUAUUCCUGUACCACCUCUUUAUCGUUUGAGCAAUGGAGGGACGCAGAAGGAUAGAAGAAGCGUGCGAUUGGUUGUGCACGUCCAAGCAGUUAGGCUGAUAAGUAGGCAAAUCCGCUUAUCGUAAAGGCUGAGCUGUGAUGGGGAAGCUCCUUAUGGAGCGAAGUCUUUGAUUCCCCGCUGCCAAGAAAAGCUUCUAGCGAGAUAAAAGGUGCCUGUACCGCAAACCGACACAGGUAGGCGAGGAGAGAAUCCUAAGGUGUGCGAGAGAACUCUGGUUAAGGAACUCGGCAAAAUGACCCCGUAACUUCGGGAGAAGGGGUGCUUUCUUAACGGAAAGCCGCAGUGAAUAGGCCCAAGCGACUGUUUAGCAAAAACACAGCUCUCUGCGAAGCCGUAAGGCGAAGUAUAGGGGGUGACACCUGCCCGGUGCUGGAAGGUUAAGGAGAGGGGUUAGCGUAAGCGAAGCUCUGAACUGAAGCCCCAGUAAACGGCGGCCGUAACUAUAACGGUCCUAAGGUAGCGAAAUUCCUUGUCGGGUAAGUUCCGACCCGCACGAAAGGUGUAACGAUUUGGGCACUGUCUCAACCAGAGACUCGGUGAAAUUAUAGUACCUGUGAAGAUGCAGGUUACCCGCGACAGGACGGAAAGACCCCGUGGAGCUUUACUGUAGCCUGAUAUUGAAUUUUGGUACAGUUUGUACAGGAUAGGCGGGAGCCUUUGAAACCGGAGCGCUAGCUUCGGUGGAGGCGCUGGUGGGAUACCGCCCUGACUGUAUUGAAAUUCUAACCUACGGGUCUUAUCGACCCGGGAGACAGUGUCAGGUGGGCAGUUUGACUGGGGCGGUCGCCUCCUAAAGUGUAACGGAGGCGCCCAAAGGUUCCCUCAGAAUGGUUGGAAAUCAUUCGUAGAGUGCAAAGGCAUAAGGGAGCUUGACUGCGAGACCUACAAGUCGAGCAGGGACGAAAGUCGGGCUUAGUGAUCCGGUGGUUCCGCAUGGAAGGGCCAUCGCUCAACGGAUAAAAGCUACCCCGGGGAUAACAGGCUUAUCUCCCCCAAGAGUCCACAUCGACGGGGAGGUUUGGCACCUCGAUGUCGGCUCAUCGCAUCCUGGGGCUGUAGUCGGUCCCAAGGGUUGGGCUGUUCGCCCAUUAAAGCGGUACGCGAGCUGGGUUCAGAACGUCGUGAGACAGUUCGGUCCCUAUCCGUCGUGGGCGUAGGAAAUUUGAGAGGAGCUGUCCUUAGUACGAGAGGACCGGGAUGGACGCACCGCUGGUGUACCAGUUGUUCUGCCAAGGGCAUAGCUGGGUAGCUAUGUGCGGAAGGGAUAAGUGCUGAAAGCAUCUAAGCAUGAAGCCCCCCUCAAGAUGAGAUUUCCCAUAGCGUAAGCUAGUAAGAUCCCUGAAAGAUGAUCAGGUUGAUAGGUUCGAGGUGGAAGCAUGGUGACAUGUGGAGCUGACGAAUACUAAUAGAUCGAGGACUUAACCAU